This 408-nucleotide ribosomal RNA is filed under the name uncultured bacterium. RNAcentral describes it as "partial 16S ribosomal RNA". It matches the Rfam family "Bacterial small subunit ribosomal RNA", at positions 28 to 526 of the family's 1533-position model. The record is from RNAcentral.
GACGAACGCUGGCGGCGCGCCUAACACAUGCAAGUCGAGCGAAGCGGCGAACGGGUGAGUAACGCGUGAGGAACCUGCCUCUCACAACGGGAUAGCCUCGGGAAACCGGGAUUAAUACCGUAUGGUGAGAGAUGGCCUCGCGUCUGAUUAGUUAGUUGGUGGGGUAACGGCCUACCACGACGACGAUCAGUAACCGGCCUGAGAGGGUGAACGGUCAAAGUGGAACGGAGAAACGGUCAAAACUCCUACGGGAGGGAGCAGGGGGGAAUAUUGAACAAGGGAGGGAACUCUGAGGCAGCGACGCCGCGUGAACGAAGAAGGCUUUCGAGUCGUAAAGUGCUUUUAUAUGGGAAGCGGUACCAUAAGAAAAAGCCCCGGCUAACUACGUGCCAGCAGCCGCGGUAAUAC